This 444-nucleotide ribosomal RNA is filed under the name uncultured bacterium. RNAcentral's name for it is "bacterial SSU rRNA". It matches the Rfam family "Bacterial small subunit ribosomal RNA", at positions 28 to 512 of the family's 1533-position model. The record is from RNAcentral.
GAUAAACGCUGGCGGCGUGCCUAACACAUGCAAGUCGAACGCCCUACGCAAGUAGGGAGUGGCGGACGGGUGAGGAACACGUGGGUUAUCUGCCUUGAGGUGAGGAAUACCGGCGAGAAAUCGCCGACAAUACCGCAUACGUUCGUAAGAACAAAGUCGCAAGACGCCCCAAGAUGAGCCUGCGUCCGAUUAGCUAGUUGGUGGGGUAAAAGCCUACCAAGGCAGCGAUCGGUAGCUGGUCUGAGAGGACGAUCAGCCACACUGGGAUUGAGAACGGCCCAGACUCCUACGGGGGGCAGCAGUGAGGAAUUUUCGUCAAUGGCCGAAAGGCUGAACGAGCAACGCCGCGUGCAGGAAGAAGGUCUUCGGAUCGUAAACUGCUUUUCUGGGGGAAGAGACCGGACGGUACCCCAGGAAGAACGCCCCGGCUAACUACGUGCCAGC